This is an RNA transcript of Salvelinus fontinalis (brook trout), 7119 nucleotides long. It is a transcript of the gene named CUGBP Elav-like family member 3, with no coding region annotated. The record is from RefSeq and is a predicted model, not a curated record. Lineage: Eukaryota; Metazoa; Chordata; Actinopteri; Salmoniformes; Salmonidae. The transcript has 14 exons.
AAAAGUAAAGGGGUCUGAAUACUUUCCGAAUGCACUUUAGAUUGUAAUAUGGCUUUUUUUUCUGGCUUUCCCAUUGAUUUUACCCACACACAGUUACUGAUUGUGUUAGCUGUGUAGUUGUUUAUCUUUUCUGAGCAGUGGCCUGACAAGAGAGCAAAUGUUCUAUACAUGGUGAAAUCACACAUUAUUAGCUCAUUGUUAUGGAUGUAUCCCCCAAAAGAAUCACUAGAAAACAGGUUAAACAAGCGCAGAUGCAGCUAAUUUGCUGUUAUUCUGUCUGCACUGUUUCACGUGACUGUGUUAACCAAAAUUGCCUGGCUAGCUAGCAAGCAAGGGAUACGAACAUUGCCAGCCAUCAUGGCUUAAUGGCCAGCCAUCAACACUUCAAAUGAACGACUGGGUCCAUAGAUUUAGGGUGCGUUCAUAAAUUCACUCUGGCUAUCUCUUCCGUCUGAGAGUGCCAGAUUGCAGAAUAAAAGCAAAUUUAUGCUUGAACCGAAAAUGUGGUCGGAGGCUCCGUAUGGAGGGUGUGACGCAAUUGUGGAGCCUCUGGAGGCACGCAGAGGGCAAAUUGAGCUCCGUACCGCAUCACCGUGUCCUCCAAAAAUGUUUUAAUAAUGCAGAGGGCUCCAGUAUAUCGCCCCAUUGACAUGAUUGGUUGAUGGUAGGUGGAGGCGGGAGGUCCUGUAUAAACACAAACUCAGUUCCUUGACAACAGCUCUGCUGUUUAAAAUCCCAAAAUAAUGUUUGCUCUGACUUCUGCAUAGGCAACAUGCACUAAAUACGGUAUGGCUACUGCAGUUUUCGGAUUGACAAUGUAGGGCCUUUAAUUGAUGAAUUUACGAACAUGCUACAUAUGACCGGUGUCAGUAAACGCUGGCAAAAAAAAAAACAUAAUUAAAUUGUUGCCAGUAGCAUAGUUACAGUCACCAAUGCUCUAGAUAGAUUGAAAACAGCCUAACCAGCUCUGCUAGGAAGAGAAAAAUGGUCAGAGUGAGGUGUUCUCUCAUUUGUGUCUUGAAAUAGCUAGCCAACGUUAGCCAGUUAGCUUGGGUGCUUGACUGUGGUUGAGGUCAGAACGCUGGGAUCAACCCUACUCGGCCAGAGCGUCCACAUCCAGUGUGCGCUCUGAAUGUAAGAAGGGACAAUCUGAAAACUCUCUGAAUUUACGAAUGCCUAGAGCGCACCCUGAGCACUCUCUGGCACUCCAGAGGGAAUUUACGAACGCACCCUUAGAACAAAAAUAUUGAACGACUGGGUCGCAUCUCUGGCAUCGUUGGGACUAUAUCUCUCUACUUCUCUAUAGGGUCAUACAUGGGAAUUGUUUUACACAGCCGUAAUUCAGUUAACCUGCAGUACCGAAGCAAUACUGUAGGCGCAGUCAAAAGCGCGCUUUCAGACGCGAACCCUGGCCCUUUGGCAGCAAUAGAUCGACGGGAGGGAGACACCGGCUUACGACGUCAAAUGCAACUAAGUAGACAGACAGAGAGACAGCCAAUGCGCGAGCGAGCGGCAGCAAUAGCCUCCCAUUUCCUGUGUUGGAUCAUAGGGAGUCUAUUCUUAUAACCACCAACCGCUUGAAUAAUCCCAGAGGUUGUCGUUAUUAUAUAAAAUCCUAAUUUGUGUGUAUUUAAUGUGGUAAACAGGAUUUGUACACAAAUAACACCCACAAAAAACUACUGGGUAAAGCAUCACAUGCUCAUGUUUAUAGAUGAAGAAGGACGUCGCUCGAUUUGUUACGUGCGCUCUUUUGGGGGUAACUUGUCAAGGCACGGAUUCAGAGGGGUCCUACAUUAGACAAAUGAAUUGAACUGGAGAAUAGACACAAACCGAAAAGAAACCCGAUUUGAUAGGGAACAGAGGAAAAAAGGGGGGAUUCAGCUAGCAACGAACCUUAAGAAGAAGGAGGAUCAUAGAGAAAUAGACUGAGUUGAAGCAUUUGCCCGUCAUCUCUAACUCGUCCAAAGAGCUAUAGGCUCUUCCUGCUCCCUGCUCUCACCACCUUUUCAGUGUCCAUCCUCGGUGCGCAACGGGUUGCUCCAAUCCCACACCGUCUCAAUGAAGGAGGCCGAUGCAAUCAAGCUCUUCAUCGGGCAGAUACCCCGAAAUCUUGAGGAGAAGGACUUGAAACCCAUCUUUGAACAGUUCGGGAAGAUCUAUGAGUUGACGGUGAUAAAGGACAAAUACACAGGGAUGCACAAAGGCUGUGCCUUCCUGACAUACUGCGAACGAGAGUCUGCACUCAAAGCCCAGAAUGCACUGCACGAGCAGAAGACGCUACCAGGGAUGAACCGGCCCAUUCAAGUGAAGCCAGCAGACAGCGAGGGCAGAGGGGAAGACCGGAAGCUGUUUGCUGGCAUGCUGGGGAAGCAGCAGUCGGAUGCUGACGUGAGGAAGAUGUUUGAGGCGUUUGGGAGCAUUGAAGAGUGCACAGUGCUCCGCGGGCCUGACGGCACUAGCAAAGGCUGUGCCUUUGUGAAGUACCAGAACAACGUAGAGGCUGCGGCAGCCAUCAGCACUCUGCAUGGGAGCCGCACUCUACCGGGUGCCUCCUCCAGCCUGGUGGUGAAGUUCGCCGACUCUGAGAAAGAGCGAGGGAUAAGGCGCAUGCAGCAGGUGGCGUCCCAGCUGGGGGUCAUCAGUCCCAUGACCUUACACCUCGGGGCUUACAAUGCCUACACACAGGUACUGGUGCAGCAGCAGGCUCUGGUGGCCCAGUCGGCGUAUUUGUCUCCUGUAUCCACCAUCACCAUGCAGCAGUUGGCUGCCCUCAACUCCAGCAGCCUCAUUGCCACGCCCCUCGCAUCACUUACUACCUCAGGUACCAGCACUCCGCCCACCAUGGCAGCCACACCGGUGCCUGCUCUGCCUCCACCACUCAGCUACCCUCCAGUGCCAGCUCCACCCAAUGGACAGUCAGCAUCUGAAACCCUGUACACCAAUGGCGUUCAUUCUUACCAAGCUCAGAGUCCAGUUUUGGAUCCUAUUCAGCAAGCAUACGCAGGGAUGCAGCACUACACAGGUGGGACAGUAGUGAGUCCGUUUGAGUCCUUAAAAUUUCCCAGAGGAAAUUUUAGGUUUGAAAUGCCCUCUCAACAGUCCUUAAUGUUUCCGUAUGCGAACACACCCACAGCAACCUACCCUGCUGCCUAUGGAAUGGUGGGGCAGCCAUUCCCACACCAACACACAAUGCUUGCACAGCAACAUCAGCAGCCUCAGCAACUGCAGCAACGAGAAGGGCCUGAGGGGUGUAACAUCUUCAUCUAUCACCUGCCUCAGGAGUUCUCUGACUCAGAGAUGCUGCAAAUGUUCGUCCCCUUCGGCAACGUCAUCUCAGCAAAGGUCUUUGUUGACCGCGCCACCAAUCAGAGCAAGUGCUUUGGUUUUGUGAGUUUUGACAACCCGUCCAGUGCUCAGACCGCAAUUCAGGCCAUGAAUGGUUUCCAGAUUGGCAUGAAGAGACUCAAGGUGCAGCUUAAGAGGCCCAAGGAUGCCAACCGACCCUACUAAAUGAGUCAAGACUGUCCUGUCCAUACAUAUAUCGUGGAGACUACGUGGCUAUGGUUGCCUAGCAACCGCUAAAACCCCCUUCCUCUCACAGCGUUGGAAGAUAUGAGUUCUAUCAAGAAACUACUUCCAGCAUUUUGGUUUCGACCAAACCGUAUAACAAAGGAGCAACAACACUUCUCGAAAAAUAAGAUAAAAUAUACAGUGGGCUCCAAAAUUACUGGCACCCCUGACUGGCAAUGCACAAACAAUGCUUAAACAAAUAUAAACAAUAUAAUUAUAGAGAAACUCAAAAUACCAACAUGAGAAAUACUGUACUUUAUUAAUGUUUCAAUGGAACCAACCAAAAUAAUUGAUUGAUUUAAUUAAAAAUCAAUGUCCUCCAAAUCAAGGUUUCACAAUUAAUGGCACCCUUAAAGGUUAUUGUAAAUAACAUCUACCAAAAUUAAACCACAAAUUAAAUUCCACUUAUUUAAGUUUAUCUAAGUCUUAAGGAAAUAUAUUGAGCCAUUACAUCACUUCCUGUUUCACUAGGGUAUAAAAAUGAGGUAACACGCAUGCAAUAUCCCGCUGUCAUCCAACACCAUGAAGAAAACAAAAGACCUGGCAGUUCAAAAGAGACAGAUGGUCAUAGACCUUCAUAAAUCUGGUAAUGGCUACAAGAAGAUCCACAAACGAUUGAAUAUACCACUGAGCACUGUCAGGGCAAUUAUUAGAAAAUUCGAAAGACAUGGAACAGUUGAAAACCUCACGGAUAGAGGACACAAAUGCAUUUCGCCCCCCAGGAUAGGGAGGAGGAUGGUGAGAGAAGCAACAAAAUCCCCAAGAGUCACUGUGAAAGAAUUGCAGGCCUUGGUGGCGUCUUUGGGUCAUCAGGUUUCAAAAAGCACCAUCAGAUGCCACCUCCACAUCCACAGGCUCUUUGGAAGGGUUCCCAGAAGAAAGCCCUUUCUGACCCCAAGACACAGAUGCAAGCGCUUGGAGUUUACCAAACGUCAUUUAAAUUAUGACUGGAAGAAGGUGCUCUGGUCAGAUGAGACCAAAAUUGAAUGUUUUGGUCAGAUACAGCAUCGGCAUGUUUGGCGUCGAAACAGAGAUGCAUACAAGGAGAGGCACCUCAUACCCACUGUGAAAUAUGGAGGGGGGGGUCAUUGAUGUUUUGGGGCUGUUUUAAUUCCAGAGGUCCAGGGGCACUGGUUAAGAUUGAUGGCAUAAUGAAUUCCACCAAGUAUCAGGCAAUUUUGGCUGACAAUCAGGUUGCCUCUGCCAGAAGGCUGGGACUUGGCCGUAGGUGGACUUUCCAACAAGACAAUGACCCGAAACAUACCUUAAGGUCCACACAGAAAUGGUUCUGUGACAACAAAAUCAAUGUUCUGUCAUGGCCAUCUCAGCCACCGGACCUCAAUCCAAUCGAAAACCUGUGGGCUGAGUGGAAGAGGGCAGUUGAUAAGCGCAAACCCAAGAAUGUGAAGGAUCUUGAAAGGAUCUGCAUAGAAGAAUGGUCCAAAAUCCUUCCAAAUGUGUUCCUUAACCUUGUCAGGAAAAGACUCCAUGCUGUUAUCCUUGCCAGAGGUGGUUGCACUAAGUAGUAAAUGAGGAGUGCCAAUAAUUAUGAAACCUUGAUUUUGGUUAAAUUUAUUUUGUAUUAAAUAAUUGAAUGAUUUUGGUUGGUUCCAUUGAAACAUUAAUUAAGUACAGUAUUUCUCACAUGUUGGUAUUUUGAGUUUCUCUAUAAUUAUAUUGUUAAUAUUUUUUUAAGUAUUGUUUGUGCAUUGCCAGUCAGGGGUGCCAGUAAUUUUGGAGCCCACUGUAUGCAUCUUCUAAAAAUCAGCAACAACAGAAUAAAACAAAUGUGGUGGGUGGUUCGGAGUACAUAUACCAUUCCACAGCUGGAUUCAGUCAUUAUGUACAGUACCAGUCAAAAGUUUGGACACACCUACUCAUUCAAGGUGUUUCUUUAUUCUUGCCAUUUUCUACAUUGUAGAAUAUUAGUGAAGACAUCAAAACUAUGAAAUAACACACAUGAAAUCAUGUAGUAACCAAAAAAGUGUUUUAUACUUGAGAUUUUUCAAAGUAGCCACCCUUUACCUUGAUGACAGCUUUGCACACUCUUGGCAUUCUCUCAACCAGCUUCAUGAGGUAGUCACCUGAAAUGCAUUUCAAUUAACAGGUGUAUCUUGUUAAAAGUUAAUUUGUGGAAUUUCUUUCCUUCUUAAUGCGUUUGAGCCAAUCAGUUGUGUUGUGACAAGGUAGGGGUGGUAUUCAGAAGAUAGCCCUAUUUGGUAAAAUACCAAGUCCAUAUUAUGGCAAGAACAGUUCAAAUAAGCGGAGAGAAAUUACAGUCCAUCAUUACUUUAAGACAUGAAGGUCAGUCAAUCUGGAAAAUGGCAAGAACUUUGAACGUUUCUUCAAGUGCAGUCGCAAAAACCAUCAAACGCUAUGAUGAAACUGGUUCUCAUGAGGACUACCACAUGAAAGGAAGACCCGGAGUUACCUCAGCUGCAUAGGAUAAGUUCAUUAGAGUUAACUGCACCUCAGAUUGCAGCCCAAAUAAAUGCUUCACAGAGUUCAAGUAACGGACACAUCUCAACAUCAACUGUUCAGAGGGGACUGCAUGAGUCAGGCCUUCAUGAUCUAAUUGAUGGUUUGGGAUGAAUUGGACUGCAAAGUGAAGGAAAAGCACCCAACAAGUGCUCAGCAUAUGUGGGAACUCCUUCAAGACUGUUGGAAAAGCAUUCCAGGCGAAGCUGGUUGAGAGAAUGCCAAGAAUGUGCAAAGCUGUCAUCAAGGAAAAUGGUGGCUACUUUAAGGAAUCGAAAUUCUAAAAUAUAAUUUUGAUUUGAUAAACACUUUCUGGUUACUACAUGAUUCCAUGUGUUAUUUCUUAGUUUUGAUGUCUUCACUAUUAUUCUACAAUGUAGAAAAUAGAAAAAUUAAGAAAAACCCUUGAAUGUGUAGGUGUCCAAACUUUUGACUGGUACUGUACAAACUGUACUGUCAGCUACAAGGUCUACAUGAAAAAGUAUAUCACUUAUUCUUAUGAACAGGGUUUCACUGUAUAGUGUGGUUUGUGGUCCAUAACUUAAGAGGGAAGGGCAAUGUAUGGGGAUGGAGAAGUAGGAUGGUAACAUUAUUGGGGGAAAAAUGCUAUUCUGUAUGAUUACCAUUGGUCGAAUUGGUAUGUAGAUUUAGUUUAUUAUUUGAAAUUAAAGACGAGGAGUAAUUAAGCAAGAAGAACAAUCAACUUCUUCUCACUGUACAUAUCUUUGUUUUAAAUGGAGUCAAAUAAUGAAAACAUGUGUAAGUUAUUACAACCACUACUAUUGUUAUUGGCAUAGGGGUGUGAGGGAUGGGAAUUGGGUGGAAUUUUUGUAUCUUAAUUUUUUACUUUUAAUGUAUUUGUUAUGCAAUUGAAGGGGGAGAUAUGGCUAUUUUUUAUUUUAGAAAAUAGAAUAUUCCUGUGGUCUACAGUACAAGACUAUGGAUACACGUAUUGUAGAAUUUGUAAUUACAUAAAUGUAAUUAUCAAAAUCAUAAUUGUUUCAUUAUUUAUUCUCUACAAUUGCUGUUUUAAAACAUAUGUCUAAGAAAAAUAAAGUACAAUUUCGAAAA